AGGAGUGGGUGGGCGGCUGACGGCUCAUCAGAGCUGAGGAAAUUCCCCCCUCAUUUCUGGGUCAGGGGUGUAACAACCGGGGCGAGAGUCCCGACGGCAGGCGCAGAAACGGCACAGCCCAUGACGAGAAUGAUUUCCUGAGAAUGACGCUGUCAUGGGAUAUGGUGAAACGGCCGCCGCCCUGGAGCAAGUCCAAACACCGGCAGGGUUACCCAGAACCGCCCGGGGGUAGGACGCUUAGACAAAUGCCGCCUAAAACAGAAGGGGGAUUACGACCCACACCU
RNAcentral lists this RNase P RNA (284 nucleotides) under Thermoplasmata archaeon. RNAcentral describes it as "RNase P RNA component". It matches the Rfam family "Archaeal RNase P". Rfam says of the family: Ribonuclease P (RNase P) is a ubiquitous endoribonuclease, found in archaea, bacteria and eukarya as well as chloroplasts and mitochondria. Its best characterised activity is the generation of mature 5'-ends of tRNAs by cleaving the 5'-leader elements of precursor-tRNAs. Cellular RNase Ps are ribonucleoproteins. Lineage: Archaea; Methanobacteriati; Thermoplasmatota; Thermoplasmata. The record is from RNAcentral.